UGCAGGCAACUCAGUUGCUUGACAUGGCAACUCCGUCACCAUCCAUCUUGGGCCGGUGAGAGGAGGAGAGAAACUCACCCCGGGAGCUUCGUGAGUGUUAUGACCAUGGCAGAUUGCUUUAAAAUCCUGAUUGACGACCUUCUUGGGUUUGGACACGGUCUGCUCGGGCCAGGAGUCCAGAGUAAAGCUCAGUAGGCAUCGCGCCCAUAGGGCAUAAAAUUAUGUGGGUUGAGCUAAAUGUUCGAUUUAGCUGGGAAUAUUCGACGGAAGAUAAAAAACGAGGAAUAUUAUACAUUUUCGGUAUUUUUUAGAGUGAGAGCGUAUAUUUUAUUGGGACUUGCUCUCUUUUUUUGGGACUUACUCUCUAUUUUGUGGUGGGAAAUUUUCUCAAAUUGAGGGAAUUUUUCGGGGAUACAAUGUCCUUUUCAGCUCAACAAUGUCCCUUGCAUUCCAUCCCCACUUACGUUUUCAUACGUUUUAUGUUGCUGGCAACAUUAAUUUGUAAGGGCCAGACUCAUGUGCCGUGAAAUCGAGCAGCAUUGUUCCACAACAUUGCGCGGAUUGAGCAACAUUUUGCAUACCCUGGGAAAUGGAUGUUCAAGAACCGAAAAAAUGUUUGUCAUCUAAUGCACCAAUAAAGGCCAAAACUAGUCAGUUUCUGUUUUAAAGGUA
Drosophila miranda is the source of this 672-nucleotide long non-coding RNA. RefSeq lists it as uncharacterized. The record is from RefSeq and is a predicted model, not a curated record. NCBI's taxonomy places the organism in Eukaryota, Metazoa, Arthropoda, Insecta, Diptera, Drosophilidae. The transcript is spliced from 2 exons.